Molecule: ribosomal RNA, 495 nt
Filed under: uncultured bacterium
Lineage: Bacteria
Description: partial 16S ribosomal RNA
Rfam family: Bacterial small subunit ribosomal RNA
Source: RNAcentral
GACGAACGCUGGCGGCGUGCCUAAUACAUGCAAGUAGAACGCUGAAGGAGGAGCUUGCUUCUCUGGAUGAGUUGCGAACGGGUGAGUAACGCGUAGGUAACCUGCCUGGUAGCGGGGGAUAACUAUUGGAAACGAUAGCUAAUACCGCAUAAGAGUAGAUGUUGCAUGACAUUUGCUUAAAAGGUGCAAUUGCAUCACUACCAGAUGGACCUGCGUUGUAUUAGCUAGUUGGUGGGGUAACGGCUUACCAAGGCGACGAUACAUAGCCGACCUGAGAGGGUGAUCGGCCACACUGGGACGGAGACACGGCCCAGACUCCUACGGGAGGCAGCAGUAGGGAAUCUUCGGCAAUGGACGGAAGUCUGACCGAGCAACGCCGCGUGAGUGAAGAAGGUUUUCGGAUCGUAAAGCUCUGUUGUAAGAGAAGAACGAGUGUGAGAGUGGAAAGUUCACACUGUGACGGUAUCUGACCAGAAAGGGACGGCUAACUACGUG